CUCGUAGGCGGUUCAGUAAGUCGGCUGUGAAAGUCCGGGGCUCAACCCCGGAACUGCAGUCGAUACUGCUGUGACUAGAAUCAGGUAGAGGAGAAUGGAAUUCCCGGUGUAGCGGUGGAAUGCGCAGAUAUCGGGAGGAACACCAGUAGCGAAGGCGGUUCUCUGGGCCUGUAUUGACGCUGAGGAGCGAAAGCGUGGGGAGCAAACA
Molecule: ribosomal RNA, 208 nt
Filed under: uncultured bacterium
Lineage: Bacteria
Description: partial 16S ribosomal RNA
Rfam family: Bacterial small subunit ribosomal RNA
Source: RNAcentral